RNAcentral lists this ribosomal RNA (497 nucleotides) under uncultured bacterium. Its description in RNAcentral is "partial 16S ribosomal RNA". It matches the Rfam family "Bacterial small subunit ribosomal RNA", at positions 28 to 507 of the family's 1533-position model. The record is from RNAcentral.
GAUGAACGCUGGCGGCGUGCCUAAUACAUGCAAGUCGAGCGAACAGACGAGGAGCUUGCUCCUCUGACGUUAGCGGCGGACGGGUGAGUAACACGUGGAUAACCUACCUAUAAGACUGAUAUAACUUGGGGAAACCGGAGCUAAUACCGGAUAAUAUCUUGAACCGUAUGGUUGAAUAGAGAAAGACGGUUUUGCUGUCACUUAUAGCUGGAUCCGCGCCGCAUGAGGUAGUUGGUAAGGUAACGGCCUACCAAGGCAACGAUGCGUAGACGACGUGAGAGGGGGAUCGGCCGCCCGGGAGCGUGGACAGGGACCAGAGUCCUGCGGGAGGCAGCAGUAGGGAACCUGCCGCAAUGGGCGAAAGCUUGGCGGAGCAACGCCGCGUGAGAGACGGAGGUCUUCGGAUCGUAAUACUCUGUUACUAGGGAUAAACAGCUGUGUAAGUAAAUAUGCACGUCUUGACGGUACCUAAUCAGAAAGCCACGGCUAACUACGUG